GAUGAACGCUGGCGGCGUGCCUAAUACAUGCCAGUCGAGCGAACAGACGAGGAGCUUGCUCCUCUGACGUUAGCGGCGGACGGGUGAGUAACACGUGGAUAACCUACCUAUAAGACUGGGAUAACUUCGGGAAACCGGAGCUAAUACCGGAUAAUAUAUUGAACCGCAUGGUUCAAUAGUGAAAGACGGUUUUGCUGUCACUUAUAGAUGGAUCCGCGCCGCAUUAGCUAGUUGGUAAGGUAACGGCUUACCAAGGCAACGAUGCGUAGCCGACCUGAGAGGGUGAUCGGCCACACUGGAACUGAGACACGGUCCAGACUCCUACGGGAGGCAGCAGUAGGGAAUCUUCCGCAAUGGGCGAAAGCCUGACGGAGCAACGCCGCGUGAGUGAUGAAGGUCUUCGGAUCGUAAAACUCUGUUAUUAGGGAAGAACAAAUGUGUAAGUAACUAUGCACGUCUUGGCGGUACCUAAUCAGAAAGCCACGGCUAACUACGUG
Molecule: ribosomal RNA, 497 nt
Filed under: uncultured bacterium
Lineage: Bacteria
Description: partial 16S ribosomal RNA
Rfam family: Bacterial small subunit ribosomal RNA
Source: RNAcentral